GAUGAACGCUAGCGGGAGGCCUAACACAUGCAAGCCGAGCGGUAGAAUCUUUUCGGAGAUUUGAGAGCGGCGUACGGGUGAGGAACACGUGUGCAACCUGCCUUUAUCUGGGAGAUAGCCUUUCGAAAGGAAGAUUAAUAUCCCAUAAUAUAUUGAGUGGCAUCACUUAAUAUUGAAAGCUCCGGCGGAUAGAGAUGGGCACGCGCGAGAUUAGAUAGUUGGUGAGGUAACGGCUCACCAAGUCUACGAUCUUUAGGGGGCCUGAGAGGGUGAUCCCCCACACUGGUACUUAGACACGGACCAGACUCCUACGGGAGGCAGCAGUGAGGAAUAUUGGACAAUGGGUGCAAGCCUGAUCCAGCCAUCCCGCGUGAAGGAUUAAGGUCCUAUGGAUUGUAAACUUCUUUUAUACAGGGAUAAACCUCUCCUCGUGAGGAGAGCUGAAGGUACUGUAUGAAUAAGCACCGGCUAACUCCGUGCCAGCCGCCGCAGUAA
RNAcentral lists this ribosomal RNA (495 nucleotides) under uncultured bacterium. RNAcentral describes it as "partial 16S ribosomal RNA". It matches the Rfam family "Bacterial small subunit ribosomal RNA", at positions 28 to 523 of the family's 1533-position model. The record is from RNAcentral.